GACGAACGCUGGCGGCGUGCUUAACACAUGCAAGUCGAACGGAAAGGCCCUGCUUUUGUGGGGUGCUCGAGUGGCGAACGGGUGAGUAACACGUGAGUAACCUGCCCUUGACUUUGGGAUAACUUCAGGAAACUGGGGCUAAUACCGGAUAGGAUCUCCUGCUGCAUGGUGGGGGUUGGAAAGUUUCGGCGGUUGGGGAUGGACUCGCGGCUUAUCAGCUUGUUGGUGGGGUAGUGGCUUACCAAGGCUUUGACGGGUAGCCGGCCUGAGAGGGUGACCGGCCACAUUGGGACUGAGAUACGGCCCAGACUCCUACGGGAGGCAGCGGUGGGGAAUAUUGCACAAUGGGCGGAAGCCUGAUGCAGCAACGCCGCGUGCGGGAUGACGGCCUUCGGGUUGUAAACCGCUUUCGCCUGUGACGAAGCGUGAGUGACGGUAAUGGGUAAAGAAGCACCGGCUAACUACGUG
This 468-nucleotide ribosomal RNA is filed under the name uncultured bacterium. Its description in RNAcentral is "partial 16S ribosomal RNA". It matches the Rfam family "Bacterial small subunit ribosomal RNA", at positions 28 to 507 of the family's 1533-position model. The record is from RNAcentral.